GGGGCUGUAGCUCAGUGGCAGAGCGCUUGCCUUGCACACAAGAAGCACUGGGUUCAAUCCUCAACACCACA
This 71-nucleotide transfer RNA is filed under the name Marmota monax (woodchuck). Its description in RNAcentral is "tRNA.Ala". It matches the Rfam family "tRNA". Rfam says of the family: Transfer RNA (tRNA) molecules are approximately 80 nucleotides in length. Their secondary structure includes four short double-helical elements and three loops (D, anti-codon, and T loops). The record is from RNAcentral. Lineage: Eukaryota; Metazoa; Chordata; Mammalia; Rodentia; Sciuridae.